GUCGGGUUCGGGAUGAAGUGGUUGACCACGCCACCCAUCACGGCGAAGGUCCGCUUGCCCUCGGUGAGCAUCUGAACACCACGGCGUGUGAACUCCUU
This 98-nucleotide small RNA is filed under the name Mycolicibacterium iranicum. RNAcentral describes it as "sRNA Ms_AS-1". It matches the Rfam family "Mycobacterium sRNA Ms_AS-1". The record is from RNAcentral. Lineage: Bacteria; Bacillati; Actinomycetota; Actinomycetes; Mycobacteriales; Mycobacteriaceae.